Rattus norvegicus (Norway rat) is the source of this 70-nucleotide non-coding RNA. NCBI's taxonomy places the organism in Eukaryota, Metazoa, Chordata, Mammalia, Rodentia, Muridae. The record is from Rfam.
GGGGAUUUGGCUCAGUGGUAGAGCACUUGCCUAGCAAGCGCAAGGUCCCUGGGUUCGGUCCCCAGCUCCG